GGCCUGAUGGUCUAGUAGUAUGAUUCCUUGUUAGGGAUUAAUUCCAUAUCGAGGAGGUCCCGGGUUCAAUUCCCGGUCAGGCCC
RNAcentral lists this transfer RNA (84 nucleotides) under Termitomyces sp. T159_Od127. RNAcentral describes it as "tRNA-Pro". It matches the Rfam family "tRNA". From Rfam's summary of the family: Transfer RNA (tRNA) molecules are approximately 80 nucleotides in length. Their secondary structure includes four short double-helical elements and three loops (D, anti-codon, and T loops). Further hydrogen bonds mediate the characteristic L-shaped molecular structure. tRNAs have two regions of fundamental functional importance: the anti-codon, which is responsible for specific mRNA codon recognition, and the 3' end, to which the tRNAs corresponding amino acid is attached (by aminoacyl-tRNA synthetases). tRNAs cope with the degeneracy of the genetic code in two manners: having more than one tRNA (with a specific anti-codon) for a particular amino acid; and 'wobble' base-pairing, i.e. permitting non-standard base-pairing at the 3rd anti-codon position. The record is from RNAcentral. Lineage: Eukaryota; Fungi; Basidiomycota; Agaricomycetes; Agaricales; Lyophyllaceae.